UACAGAGGGUGCGAGCGUUAAUCGGAAUUACUGGGCGUAAAGCGCGCGUAGGCGGCUUUUCAAGUCGAUUGUGAAAUCCCCGGGCUUAACCUGGGAACUGCAGUCGAGACUGUCUAGCUAGAGUAUGGGAGAGGGAAGUGGAAUUUCAGGUGUAGCGGUGAAAUGCGUAGAUAUCUGAAGGAACAUCAGUGGCGAAAGCGACUUCCUGUACCAAUACUGACGCUCAUGUGCGAAAGCGUGGGGAGCAAACAGG
Molecule: ribosomal RNA, 253 nt
Filed under: uncultured bacterium
Lineage: Bacteria
Description: partial 16S ribosomal RNA
Rfam family: Bacterial small subunit ribosomal RNA
Source: RNAcentral